CUCGGCUGAGCUGACAGCUAACAGUGUUAGCAUCAGGUAGCUCUGCUGAGCUAACAGUGUUAGCAUCAGGUAGCUCUGCUGAGCUAACAGUGUUAGCAUCAGGUAGCUCUGCUGAGCUAACAGCUAACAGUUCCAACAGAAUUUAAAGUGAACACAGUGACAGAAUCAGUCGCUGGUACGACGUCCGGUCACAGUACCAGCUGUGAGCGGCAGCCCGACCCGACAACGACCCACACUGAUGUUCACAUCGAGUCCUUCUGCAGGAACCUGGAGCUCCGACAGGUGAAGCUGUGAGCUUCGGUAAAAACAAGAAAGUCUCAACUUCUUCUGAAUUAUUUUGACUUUCGUCAUGUAAAUCACCUUGUCAGGUAUAUUAUUAGUUAUAUAUAUUUAAACUGAGCUAAAUAAAACAACAACAGUCUUCA
Molecule: long non-coding RNA, 425 nt
Organism: Acanthopagrus latus (yellowfin seabream)
Lineage: Eukaryota; Metazoa; Chordata; Actinopteri; Spariformes; Sparidae
Exons: 2
Source: RefSeq, a predicted model, not a curated record